Molecule: ribosomal RNA, 372 nt
Filed under: uncultured bacterium
Lineage: Bacteria
Description: bacterial SSU rRNA
Rfam family: Bacterial small subunit ribosomal RNA
Source: RNAcentral
UACGGAGGAUGCGAGCGUUAUCCGGAUUCAUUGGGUUUAAAGGGUGCGCAGGCGGAUUAAUAAGUCAGUGGUGAAAUCCCAUAGCUCAACUAUGGAACUGCCAUUGAUACUGUUAAACUAGAGUAUAUUUGACGUAGGCGGAAUGCGACAUGUAGCGGUGAAAUGCUUAGAUAUGUCGCAGAACACCGAUUGCGAAGGCAGCUUACGAAACUAUAACUGACGCUCAUGCACGAAAGCGUGGGGAUCAAACAGGAUUAGAUACCCUGGUAGUCCACGCCCUAAACGAUGAUUACUCGUUGUUGGCCUGCACAGGUCAGUGGCUAAGGGAAACCGAUAAGUAAUCCACCUGGGGAGUACGAUCGCAAGGUUGAA